This 210-nucleotide unclassified non-coding RNA is filed under the name Hevea brasiliensis (rubber tree). Lineage: Eukaryota; Viridiplantae; Streptophyta; Magnoliopsida; Malpighiales; Euphorbiaceae. The record is from RNAcentral.
CGAAGUUCAAUUGAAUUGAGGUCAUUCUAUUCUCAAAUCGUAGAGGUAAUCACACAAGUUUAACACCAAAAUGCAUAAUGAGAACUUUUUAGGUGAGCUCAGACCAAAGACCUACUGUAGAAAUAUAAACAGCAAAAAUCAAUUGUACAAUGCGCAAUCAAGUUUUUAAAUUUAAUCAACUAGGUAAUUAAGGAGCAUUGGUAAAUGGGG